UACGAAGGGGGCUAGCGUUGCUCGGAAUCACUGGGCGGAAAGCGCACGUAGGCGGCUUGUUAAGUCAGGGGUGAAAUCCUGGAGCUCAACUCCAGAACUGCCUUUGAUACUGGCGAUCUCGAGUCCGGGAGAGGUGAGUGGAACUGCGAGUGUAGAGGUGAAAUUCGUAGAUAUUCGCAAGAACACCAGUGGCGAAGGCGGCUCACUGGCCCGGUACUGACGCUGAGGUGCGAAAGCGUGGGGAGCAAACAGG
This 253-nucleotide ribosomal RNA is filed under the name uncultured bacterium. Its description in RNAcentral is "partial 16S ribosomal RNA". It matches the Rfam family "Bacterial small subunit ribosomal RNA", at positions 524 to 776 of the family's 1533-position model. The record is from RNAcentral.